RNAcentral lists this long non-coding RNA (766 nucleotides) under Naja naja (Indian cobra). RNAcentral's name for it is "lncRNA (ENSNNAG00000018545.1)". The record is from RNAcentral. Lineage: Eukaryota; Metazoa; Chordata; Lepidosauria; Squamata; Elapidae.
CUUUUAUGCAAAUUCCCAGGGACUUUAACCUGAGAAAAUUUAGCAGCUGCUGGCUUGGUCUUAAUACACCUUGCCUCUCUGUAUGAUCGGGAACUAUCAGGAACUUGAUGAGCUGACAAAUGUGCUCCAUGCUUGCAACACAGCAGGGAAGAAAUUGCAGCACCUGGAAAUCCCCGUGGAAUGCAAGAGGAAGAAAAUUAGAGAAAGGAAAAUAAUUGAAGCUGGGAUUGAAAGAGCUGCUUCAAUCAGGCCAGAGACCAAAAGAAAAACAACAAUAUGUACAUUUCUCUUGUGGAGUUCCUCAGGGCUAAACUGCACCACUGAGCUAAAUUGCACAGUGCAGCAUUUAUUAAACAGGCUCUACUUUGAAGCCACCAUGGAAAUCUUGACAGUAAGGAAACAAGUUAAAUUACUGGAAGGGCUGGAGGCAAACCUACAAAUUCUAACUUCACUGAAUGUCUAAAAAGAAAAAGAAAAAAAAGAAAAACCUGCUUCUUAAAAUUGAGAAAUAAGAAAGACUCAAGAUGUCUUGAUGGUUGACCUUGAGCGUUCUUCAACUUCUUCUGUUGAGCUCAUCUUUCUUCUUUUUGUAAGUCUUUUCUCUCUCUCCCUAAGUUAGAACCGAAGACUAGUUCCCAUUAAUAUUUCAUCAGUCGUUGUGGUGGAUGGUGCUAAAAGACAAAAACAGAGACACAAAUUACAUCUCAGCAUUGGCAUAUUCCAAUUAUGUGUGAAUUAUGGCAAGUGGAUUACUUUUCCAAGCAAC